Non-coding RNA from Cricetulus griseus (Chinese hamster), 2952 nucleotides. The record is from RefSeq and is a predicted model, not a curated record. Lineage: Eukaryota; Metazoa; Chordata; Mammalia; Rodentia; Cricetidae.
ACAGUGCAUAUUUUAAUCAUAAUGUUCACAUCAGGAAGAGGAGGCUGCAAGCAUUCUCAUGUACCAGAUGAGGCUUUUUGAAUUGAUAGAUUUCUGCAGGCAAUUUGAUGAUAAAUGCCAACAGGUUUAGAAUUCUGAAUGCCUUUGGGCUAUAAUCUCACUUCUAGGAAUUUGUAUAAAUUAUCAUGAAUGAACAGAGGACAAUAUUGUUAUUUCAAGUGGAAUAAGAAGGAAAGACUUUUAUUUGAUUAUUAUUUACUUUGUUAUGUUUGGCUUAGCUGUCUCUGUAAUAAAUGUGAAUUAAUUCUAUUAGAAGAGAUCAGUAAUAAAAUUAGUUAGAAAAAAACAAGUCUGUCCAUGACUUUGAGCUCCAUUUGAGGGUUAUUUGUCCAAUGACUCUGGAGGUAGAUCCAAAGGCUGGCACACUGUGAGCAAGUGCGAUGGCCCUGGUUCUGUGCAGGCAAAUUCUAGGAGAGUUCAGCAAAGUACCAUGCUCUGAAGUUAUGAAUAAACGCAAAUAUAAGUUUCUAAAAACAGUAUUCAAACAAUCUCCCAUUUGCUUUUGAAGGUGCCGUCAAAUAUGCGGAAAAGUCCUGUUUCAGUUAACUGUUGACAUUCUCUGAACUGGGGCUGUUCCUCAAACUCUUUCUACUGCAAAUGCAUCACCAUGGAGUCCCACAGAAACAGAAGAGCAUCACCAAACAAGACCUGUCUCAAGCCAGGCCAUGUUAAAAGCAACAAGAACAAAUGGAACGUUUAACCCAGCAGGGUACAGUGAGGUGUGGUUAUGGAGAAGAGCUGGAUAUCACUCCACAGGAUAUGGAUAUACAUCCUGGACUUCAGUGAUCUCAACUCAUAACAAUGCCUCCAGCUGUGCUGAUUGGUUCCUAUGGAUGUUCACUCUACAGAGAGAGUGUGUCUCUGCCUCUCCCGGCCCUAGUGCUCUGAGAGGCCUGAGGCCCACAAUCUGAGGUCUACUGCCUGAGGGUGUGUGACAAGGAACUUCUCUACCAGGAGCUCUUCAGUGUGAGUGGUGACCUUGAGUGCUGCCAGAAGACAAGCGUUUGACCUCUCAUCCAAAAAGCAGGACUCACAGCAGACCUUGACACUGUGGUUCUCUGCCCCGCUUCAUCAGAGGCCUGAUGGGAAACGGGAGACAAAGAACCUGGAAUACAUGUGCCUUGGCCUUUGUCUCUCUGGACCUGGGGUGUGAGGCUGCCAUGGGACAGAACACCUCCUGCCCAAGGUGGCAGUGCCAGAGCUACAGGAUAAAUGCUGAAAAUAAUACCCUGGGGUGAGGGCCAAGGUCAUGGCCAGUGAGUGAAUCCAAAUCAAGUCAUAAAUUCAAGUAACCUGAAAAAUCAGAAGCUGAGGUACUGAGCCAAAAUGAGGCACUGAGCAAUAAGGGUGGCCAAGAGUGAAGAGAGGGAAUUAGUGCCACAGCUGAAGGUCAUCUCAGAGUCUCCUGUCUGGCCACAGCAGAGCUACACUCCCUGAGACAGAGAGAACCAGGUCUUUCAGGCAGCAGCCAGAAGCUUGCAAACUGAUUUGCUAGAACAUUCCACAUGCUCUCAGACAGCUCCCAAAGUUGACCGUGGUACUCCAUUCCAAGCUCAUCGCACAGAGAAAUCCCCAGAUUCUAAGUCCAAACAAGCCCGAUUCCAGGCUCCAAAGAAAAACCAACCCUCACUUCCAUGAAGCCCUACAAAACAUCCAGAGUAGAGUGAGCCAAGAAAUAGCCACAGUAGUUUAAAGAGGUCAAGACAAGCCUCGAAGAUACACUUAUGAAGCUGUAUGGAGAGGGGAGGGACGAGCAAUCCCUUACUUUAGCUAACAUACACACAUUUCCUUGUGUUCCCUCCUCUUCCUCUUGGGAUAUUUUCCUACAUGCCAAAUGCAAUAAGACUCCAAAGGAAAUCUGAGCUCUUGGCAAUUGUCUAAAUCAAAGUCUGGCAGAAAGGCUGGACUCUCUGUUAGAGGUGUAACCAGAGUGUUAAAAACUCAACAUGAACUGGUGAGGUGGUCUAGAAGGUUAAGGUGCCUGCUGCCAAGCAAGCCUGAUGACUUGAAUUCAAGCCUGAGACCCACAUGUCGAAAGGAGAUAACCAAUUCCAUAAAAUCUAUAAAAGACCUCCAUAUUCACACGGUGACAUGUAUAUAAACCUACAUGUUCGUAAACACACACACACAAUAAAGAAAUAAGCAUUUUUAAAAAUGUCACUACACACCCUGAAAAAUAAGACAUUUCAAAGCCCAGUUCUACUACUUGGAAAAAUUUUCUGACCAAAAAAAAAUUGAACAUGCCAGGCAGUGGUGGAGCAUACCUUUAAUCCCAACACUCCAGAGACAGAGACAGGUGGAUUUCUGUGAGUUUCAGUCCAGCCUGGUCAACAGAGCAAUUCCAGGACAGCCAGGGCUACACAAAGAGACCCUGACUUGAGAAAAAAAAAGAAAAAAGAAAAAAGAAAGAACACAUACAGUUAUCUCCAGUUUGCGCUCAUUAUUAACUCCAUUCUAUUAAAUUAUUAAAUGACCAUUGGUGAUUAUUGUUCCUGUACUAUCUGGAUUUGAAAUGUAACAAGUUCGGGGAAAUGUCGCUCUCUGUUCUGUUGUUUUGUUCUCCCUUCCUCCCCAUCACUGCUAGAAGGGAAGGGCAGAAAAGUCGGGGAGAGUCCCAGUACCUCACUGGCCUGAACCCUGUAAUUGGAGAGAGACUCAUCUUGGUGACAGGACAUGAAAGAGAUCCAGGUGGCACAGCAUUAACCUCGAGUUGAUUGUGAUUUUCUUCUCUGUGUUUUCCCAUGGAGAUCUAAAGAUUUACGACUUUAGAAAACCCAAAAAUUAAUAAAAAUAAAAAGCUUACUUUAUUCAAUUUAUUGAUACAUGAGUAAAAUUUACCACUUUUGUAAAACCUUUUAUUUUCUGGUAAGAGAAUUCAAGCCUGGCUUUGUA